UAGAGCUGGUGCAGGUGAGGAGGGGUUGGGAGGGCAAGGGGGCUGAACCUGAAGCUCCUCGGAACUGGUAGAGCUUGUGCAGAUGAGCAGGGGCUGGGAGGGCAGGGGGCAGCCCUGGGACCACCUGAGAGCUGUAGAUCUUGGGCAGGUGAGCACAAACUGGUAGGGCAGGGGAAGAACCUGCAGUUCCUGGGAGCAGGAGGAGCUUGUGCAGGUGAGCAGGGGCUGGAGGGCAGGGGGCUAAACCUGGAGCUAUUGGGAAGAGGUUAGGCUUGUGCAGGCGAGCAGGGGGUGGGAGGGCGAGGGUCAGUCCUGGGAGCCCUUUCGAGCCAAUAGAGCCCAGGCAGGUGAGCAGGGGCUUGGCGGGCAGGGAGCAUCCCUGGGAUGAGUUUGUGCAGGUGAGCAGGGGGUGGGAGUGUAGGGAGCAGUCCUAGCAACUCCUGGGAGCUGGUAGAGCUUGGGCAGGUGAACAGGGGCUGGAAGUGCAGGGGGCACAUCUGGGAGGCCCUGGGAGCAAUUAGCGCUCUGGCAGGUGAGUAGGGGCUCGGAGGGCAGGGAGCAGCCCUGGGAGCUCCUUGGAGCAGGUAGAGCUUGGGCAGGUGAGCAGGGGGUGGGAGGGCAGGGGGCAGUCCUAGCAACUCCUGGGAGCUUGUAGAGCUUGGGCAGGUGAGCAGGGGGUGGGAGGGUAGGGAGCAGUCCUGGGAACUCCUGCGAGCAGGUAGAGCUUGUGCAGGUGGGCAGGGGUGGGAGGGCAGGGGGCUGAACCUGGAGCUCCUCAGAACUGGUAGAGCUUGUGCAGAUGAGCAGUGGCUGGGAGGGCAGGGGGCAGCCCUGGGAGCAAUAGACCUUGGGCAGGUGAGAACGAGCUGGUAGGGCAGUGGAAUGAACCUGGAGUUACUGGGUCAAGAAGAGCUUGUGCAGGCAAGCAGGGGCUGAAGGGCAGGGGGCUAAACCUGGAGCUAUUGGGAAGAGGUUAGGCUUGUGCAGGCGAGCAGGGGGUGGGAGGGCAAGGGUCAGUCCUGGGAGCCCUUGCGAGCCGGUAGAGCCCAGGCAGGUGAGCAGGGGCUGGGAGGGCAGGGAGCAUCCCUGGGACCUCUUGGGAGCAGGUAGAGCUUGUGCAGGUGAGCAGGGGGUGGGAGGGUAGGGAGCCGUCCUAGCAACUCCUGAAUCUGGUAGAGCUUGCGGAGGUGAACAGGGGCUGGGAGUGCAGGGGGCAGUCCUGGGAGCCCCUGGGAGUAAUUAGAGCUUGGGCAGGUGAGCAGGAGCUUGGAGUCUAGGGGGCUAAACUGGAGCUAUUGGGAAGAGUUUAGGCUUGUUCAGGUGAGCAAGGGGUGGGAGUAGAGGGGGCAUUCCUAGGAGCUCCCGCGAGUUGGUCAAUCUCGGGCAGGUAAGCAGGGGCUCAGAGGCCUGGAGCAGC
RNAcentral lists this long non-coding RNA (1417 nucleotides) under Sus scrofa (pig). RNAcentral's name for it is "lncRNA (ENSSSCG00025058167.1)". The record is from RNAcentral. Lineage: Eukaryota; Metazoa; Chordata; Mammalia; Artiodactyla; Suidae.